UACCCUAUAGGAACCAUAUGGGACCCCCUAUAUACCCUAUAAGAGCCAUAUGGACCCCCUAUAUACCCUAUAGGAACCAUAUGGAUCCCCUAUAUACCCUAUAGGAACCAUAUGGACCCUCCAUGACCUAUAUAGGCCCCCCCAUCCCCCACAUAUAUGUGCCCUUCAUACCCUAUAUGCCCUAUAGGAGCUCUGUACCCCCCUCCCUGCGCUUUUCGGGUGCCAAUUUAAUGUUAUUUUGGGGCAAAUUCGCUCAGUUUUGGUUCAUUUCCACCCCUCCCCAUUGGGAACACAAAGCAGUUACCACAAAGCAGAGACUUUAAUGGUCCUCCAAGCGCCUAGAGCGGCCGCGUGACGUCACUUCCUGUCUCUCUCUCCUUCCCCACUUCCUGUGACCAUAGAGAGGGGUCAUCCAGCAGGAAAGAAGGCCAACCAUAGAGAGGUCCUCAAAGGGAAGGGCAACCAUAGAGAGGUCCUCCAAGGGGAGCCAACCAUAGAGAGGUCCUCCAGGGGGAGGCAUAAAGACCAUAGAGAGGUCCUCCAGGGGGGAGCCAACCAUAGAGAGGUCCUCCAAGGGAAGGCCAACCAUAGAGAAGUCCUCCAAGGAAAGGCCAACCAUAGAGAGGUCCUCCAAGGGGAGGCCAACCAUAGAGAGGUCCUCCAGGGGGGAGCCAACCAUAGAGAGGUCCUCCAAGGGAAGGCCAACCAUAGAGAGGUCCUCCAGGGGGAGGCA
Molecule: non-coding RNA, 733 nt
Organism: Coturnix japonica (Japanese quail)
Lineage: Eukaryota; Metazoa; Chordata; Aves; Galliformes; Phasianidae
Source: RefSeq, a predicted model, not a curated record